GGUUAUGAGGGCUAUCUGGCUGCAACAUGUCACCCCACUGAUCACCAGGGUUGAUUCGGCUGAUCUGGCUGGCUAGGUGGGUGUCCCCUUCCUCCCUCACCGGUCCAUGUGCGUCCCUCUGGAAGCUGCACGCUUGGUACAAAGAUGAUGGCCUUCCCCGAAUAGUCUUUAGUCAAGGAUAUAUGAGUAGCUGAGCUUCCCUGCUAGAACCUCCAAACAAGCUCUCAAGAUCCAAGUUUGGACUAUUACAAACUAAGAUAUUAUGGACAUAGGUGUACAUGUUUUUUUUU
Molecule: unclassified non-coding RNA, 290 nt
Organism: Erinaceus europaeus (western European hedgehog)
Lineage: Eukaryota; Metazoa; Chordata; Mammalia; Eulipotyphla; Erinaceidae
Gene: 7SK
Rfam family: 7SK RNA
About the family: 7SK was discovered as an abundant small nuclear RNA in the mid-70s but a possible function has only recently been suggested. Two independent studies have found that 7SK RNA binds the CDK9/cyclin T complex (known as elongation factor P-TEFb).
Source: Ensembl